GACGAACGCUGGCGGCGUGCUUAACACAUGCAAGUCGAACGGAAAGGCCCUGCUUUUGUAGGGUGCUCGAGUGGCGAACGGGUGAGUAACACGUGAGUAACCUGCCCUUGACUUUGGGAUAACUUCAGGAAACUGGGGCUAAUACCGGAUAGGAGCUCCUGCUGCAUGGUGGGGGUUGGAAAGUUUCGGCGGUUGGGGAUGGACUCGCGGCUUAUCGGCUUGUUGGUGGGGUAGUGGCUUACCAAGGCUUUGACGGGUAGCCGGCCUGAGAGGGUGACCGGCCACAUUGGGACUGAGAUACGGCCCAGACUCCUACGGGAGGCAGCAGUGGGGAAUAUUGCACAAUGGGCGGAAGCCUGAUGCAGCAACGCCGCGUGCGGGAUGACGGCCUUCGGGUUGUAAACCGCUUUCGCCUGUGACGAAGCGUGAGUGACGGUAAUGGGUAAAGAAGCACCGGCUAACUACGG
RNAcentral lists this ribosomal RNA (467 nucleotides) under uncultured bacterium. Its description in RNAcentral is "partial 16S ribosomal RNA". It matches the Rfam family "Bacterial small subunit ribosomal RNA", at positions 28 to 506 of the family's 1533-position model. The record is from RNAcentral.